GACGAACGCUGGCGGCGUGCCUAACACAUGCCAGUCGAGCGGGGAUUUAAGUGGAAGUUCUUCGGAAUGGAGAUUUACAUUCUAGCGGCGGACGGGUGAGUAACGCGUGAACAAUCUGUCCCGGACAGGGGGAUAACACUUGGAAACAGGUGCUAAUACCGCAUAAGACCACGGCCUCGCAUGGGGCUGAGGUAAAAGGAGCAAUCCGGUUCGGGGUGAGUUCGCGUCCGAUUAGCUAGUUGGUGAGGUAACGGCCCACCAAGGCGACGAUCGGUAGCCGGCCUGAGAGGGUGAACGGCCACAUUGGAACUGAGAGACGGUCCAAACUCCUACGGGAGGCAGCAGUGGGGAAUAUUGGGCAAUGGGCGAAAGCCUGACCCAGCAACGCCGCGUGAGGGAAGAAGGUUUUCGGAUUGUAAACCUCUGUCCUAUGGGACGAAGGAAGUGACGGUACCAUAGGAGGAAGCCCCGGCUAACUACGUG
This 483-nucleotide ribosomal RNA is filed under the name uncultured bacterium. RNAcentral describes it as "partial 16S ribosomal RNA". It matches the Rfam family "Bacterial small subunit ribosomal RNA", at positions 28 to 507 of the family's 1533-position model. The record is from RNAcentral.